This 1000-nucleotide ribosomal RNA is filed under the name uncultured bacterium. Its description in RNAcentral is "bacterial SSU rRNA". It matches the Rfam family "Bacterial small subunit ribosomal RNA", at positions 31 to 1078 of the family's 1533-position model. The record is from RNAcentral.
CAAGAUUGGCGGCGUGCUUACACAUGCAAGUCGAACGAACCUUCGGGUUAGUGGCGGACGGGUGAGUAACGCGUGAGAAUCUGCCCUCAGGAGGGGGGCAACAGCUGGAAACGGCUGCUAAUACCCCAUGUGCCGCGAGGUGAAACGAAUUUCGCCUGAGGAUGAGCUCGCGUCUGAUUAGCUAGUUGGUGUGGUAAAGGCGCACCAAGGCAUCGAUCAGUAGCUGGUCUGAGAGGAUGAUCAGCCACACUGGGACUGAGACACGGCCCAGACUCCUACGGGAGGCAGCAGUGGGGAAUUUUCCGCAAUGGGCGAAAGCCUGACGGAGCAACGCCGCGUGAGGGAUGAAGGCCUCUGGGCUGUAAACCUCUUUUCUCAAGGAAGAAGAUCUGACGGUACUUGAGGAAUAAGCCACGGCUAAUUCCGUGCCAGCAGCCGCGGUAAUACGGGAGUGGCAAGCGUUAUCCGGAAUUAUUGGGCGUAAAGCGUCCGCAGGCGGUCCAGAAAGUCUGCUGUUAAAAAGUGGAGCUUAACUCCAUCAUGGCAGUGGAAACUACUGGACUAGAGUGUGGUAGGGGCAGAGGGAAUUCCCGGUGUAGCGGUGAAAUGCGUAGAUAUCGGGAAGAACACCAGUGGCGAAGGCGCUCUGCUGGGCCAUAACUGACGCUCAUGGACGAAAGCCAGGGGAGCGAAAGGGAUUAGAUACCCCUGUAGUCCUGGCCGUAAACGAUGAACACUAGGUGUCGGGGGAAUCGACCCCCUCGGUGUCGUAGCCAACGCGUUAAGUGUUCCGCCUGGGGAGUACGCACGCAAGUGUGAAACUCAAAGGAAUUGACGGGGGCCCGCACAAGCGGUGGAGUAUGUGGUUUAAUUCGAUGCAACGCGAAGAACCUUACCAGGGUUUGACAUCCUGCGAACCUCUUGGAAACGAGAGGGUGCCUUCGGGAACGCAGUGACAGGUGGUGCAUGGCUGUCGUCAGCUCGUGUCGUGUGAUGUUGG